Molecule: unclassified non-coding RNA, 429 nt
Filed under: plant metagenome
Description: partial contains 5.8S ribosomal RNA, internal transcribed spacer 2, and large subunit ribosomal RNA
Rfam family: 5.8S ribosomal RNA (bases 1-108)
Source: RNAcentral
UAAAUGUGACACUUAAUGUGACUUGCAACGGUCGUGAAUCAUCGAGUCUUUGAACACAUACCGAACUGUUUCACUCUCGGGUGAAAUGGUACUUAUUUGUCAGUGUCAGUUUUUAUUCAUUCAACUAUAAACCUGCGAUGCGAUGUGCAGUUGCUAGUAGGUUCAAUCGAUUUAUGAUCGAACACCCUGUCCUUGGUAAGUAACUAGCCACUCUAGUAGCACUGCUACCCGAGCUGGUGGGUACCUCAGUAGGUUCGCCUGCUGGAUGGAUACCUCAGUUAUGGAAGAGGCGAUCAGAUCUCAGACCCAAUAAUGAGCACGAGCGUUUCGCUUUGGCAUACGCUUCGGUUGUAUAUUAUCCAGGCUAGAUCUAGUCACGUGUUUUUUACUCUGACCUGACUUGUAAGUGGCUACCCACUGAAUUUAAGC